Molecule: ribosomal RNA, 253 nt
Filed under: uncultured microorganism
Description: partial 16S ribosomal RNA
Rfam family: Bacterial small subunit ribosomal RNA
Source: RNAcentral
UACGGAGGGGGCGAGCGUUGUUCGGAGUUACUGGGCGUAAAGCGCACGUAGGCGGUGCGGUAAGUCAGGGGUUAAAGGCUGCAGCUCAACUGCAGUAAGGCCUCAGAUACUAUCGUGCUAGAGUGCCGGAGAGGGUAGCGGAAUUCCCUGUGUAGCGGUGAAAUGCGUAGAUAUAGGGAGGAACACCGGUUGCGAAGGCGGCUACCUGGCCGGUAACUGACACUGAGGCUCGAAAGCGUGGGGAGCAAACAGG